RNAcentral lists this ribosomal RNA (405 nucleotides) under uncultured bacterium. RNAcentral's name for it is "bacterial SSU rRNA". It matches the Rfam family "Bacterial small subunit ribosomal RNA", at positions 335 to 732 of the family's 1533-position model. The record is from RNAcentral.
ACUCCUACGGGAGGCAGCAGUGGGGAAUAUUGCACAAUGGGCGCAAGCCUGAUGCAGCCAUGCCGCGUGUGUGAAGAAGGCCUUCGGGUUGUAAAGCACUUUCAGUUGUGAGGAAGGUGGUGUCGUUAAUAGCGGCAUCAUUUGACGUUAGCAACAGAAGAAGCACCGGCUAACUCCGUGCCAGCAGCCGCGGUAAUACGGAGGGUGCGAGCGUUAAUCGGAAUCACUGGGCGUAAAGGGUGCGUAGGCGGCUUAGCAAGCCAGGGGUGAAAGGCAUUGGCUCAACCAAUGUAAAGCCUUUGGAACUGUUAAGCUUGAGUGCAGGAGAGGUAAGUGGAAUUCCUAGUGUAGAGGUGAAAUUCGUAGAUAUUAGGAGGAACACCAGUGGCGAAGGCGACUUACUGG